GAUCUAUCGCCUUUAAUUUUGCAUUUCCAUCAAAUGUCUGUAAUUUAUUAACAGCUUAUUUCCCAAUUGACCUAUCAGCGGAUAUUCUUUUACAUUUGUUGUUGUGCUAAUUAAAUCGAUAAUAUGUAAAAGCCAACUAAUAUUUGUAGGCUGAGUUAAGUGACAGCAAGCAAGACCUUAAUUGAGAGGAUAUAAAAUGGGGAAUAGCGGUAGUAACGGCAAGAGUUUUUCACCCAAGAGCAGUGGAAAGAUUAAGUCUUCGGAAUCUAGCAGCAAUAUGUUUUCUAGCAAAUGGAGCGAAGGUGAUUCAGGUAAAUUAGAAAGUACCAACUACAUUGAAGAUAUGGUGUGUAAAGAAUCAGACAUUCAAGAAAAUGAAAUGAAACAGCUACCUCUGGGCAGUGAUGGAGACAAAAUUUUACUUAUAAAGCAACAAGGAAAAUUGUAUGCCAUUGGUAAUAAAUGUACGCAUUAUGGAGCUCCUUUGGUAACUGGAGCAUUAGGAGAUGGAAGAGUCAGAUGUCCUUGGCACGGUGCUUGCUUCAAUAUUGAAACUGGAGAUAUCGAAGAUUAUCCUGGGCUAGAUUCUAUACCACGUUAUAAAGUAUCUACAAUUGAAGGUCAAGUUAAAGUUAGAGCAAAAAAAUCUGAUCUUGCAGCUAAUCGAAGAGAAAAACUUACUUAUGAACUAAAAGAAGGAAAUCCAGAUGUUGCUGUUAUUAUCGGAGGUGGACCGGCAGGUGCUACCUGUGCCGAAAGUCUUAGGCAAGAAGGGUUUGAGGGACGAAUAGUAAUGGUUUGCAAAGAGAAAGUGUUACCUUACGAUAGGGUCAAAGUAUCAAAAGUUAUAGAUUUAGAUAUAAACAAAAUUCUAUUAAGAUCUCAAUGUUUCUAUGAUAAACAUAAUAUUGAAACAAAAUUAGGAGUCGAAGCCCUCAGCUUGGAUACUAAGAAUCAAAAGGUUACACUUAGUAAUUGUGAAAAGCUAAGCUACACUUCAUUAUUUAUAGCUACUGGAAGCAAGCCUAGAAAACCAGAUUUUCAAGGAGUAAAUUUGAGAAACAUUUUCACUAUAAGAAAUUACACAGAUGCUCAAGCCUUGCACCGGGUACUAUCGAGUCAAUGCAAAAAACAUGUUGUAAUUCUUGGAGCAAACUUCAUUGGUAUGGAAAUAGCAUCCUACUGUGCCGAUAAAACUGCUUCGGUAACUAUUAUUGGAAAAUAUUGUGUACCUCUUACACACGUAUUUGGAGAUGAAAUAGGAAAAUCCAUAAAGAAAGUAUUUGAAGAAAAGGGUGUUACAUUUAUAACACAGAAUAGUAUUUGUAAAUGUAUACCAAAAGUAAAUAACGAUGAAAUCGUAGGUCAAGUUGAACUGCAGGAUGGAAGAAUUUUACAAGCCGACAUAGUUAUAUUAGGAAUCGGUUCGACCUUUUAUACAAAUUGGUUAACAGACUCGAAUAUAACACUUUUACAAGAUGGUAGUAUAGAAGUGGAUAAGUAUUUGACAACCAAUGUACCAAAUGUCUUUGCUGGAGGAGAUAUUGCUUUUGCGCCUGUUUAUUCUGCUAACAAAUCAGCAACUAUCGGACAUUUUGCCUUAGCUCAAUAUCAUGGGAAAAUAGCAGCUAGAAAUAUGUGUAAAAAGGAAACUCCUUUGAGAGCGAUACCAUUCUUUUGGACUACCUUAUUUGGUAAAAGCUAUCGUUAUUCCGGAUAUGGAAAAUCUACAUCUAUCAAAGUACAUGGUUCAUUAAGUGAAUCAAAAUUUUUUGCCUACCACUUUAAAGAUGGUAAAGUUAUAGCGAUGAGCAGUUUGGGCAGGGAUCCCAUUGUUUCAGAUUUUGCAAAUUACAUUUACGAAGGUAAAUGCUUGUCGGAAAAAUCUGUGACGAAUAAUCCAACUAAGUGGAUGCGCAACUUACCCGCUGAUCUUAAACCACCAACUCCAGAAUGCGAGUCGUAAGACUUUUCAUCUACACAUCAAAUUUAAAAUAAAUAAUAAAUGUAUGAUAGAUGCUUGUUAAUUACAACUAUAUAAAAUGAUCUUAAGGCUUGAUAAACGAAACUACCACACACAUACUAUCCAAAGACUCUCACCAGAAAAAUCUGUCAUUAAAAAUUUUAUAAAUAAUUAUUAUUCAACGUUUAAACGCAAUUUAUUUAAAUUUUUAUGGUAAAAUCUUGCAAAUUGUAGUGUUAUUAAA
Molecule: RNA transcript, 2207 nt
Organism: Ceratosolen solmsi marchali
Lineage: Eukaryota; Metazoa; Arthropoda; Insecta; Hymenoptera; Agaonidae
Gene name: apoptosis-inducing factor 3
Exons: 7
Source: RefSeq, a predicted model, not a curated record